This 253-nucleotide ribosomal RNA is filed under the name uncultured bacterium. RNAcentral describes it as "partial 16S ribosomal RNA". It matches the Rfam family "Bacterial small subunit ribosomal RNA", at positions 524 to 776 of the family's 1533-position model. The record is from RNAcentral.
UACGGAGGGGGCUAGCGUUGUUCGGAAUUACUGGGCGUAAAGCGCGCGUAGGCGGACCUGCAAGUCGGGGGUGAAAGCCCGAGGCUCAACCUCGGAACUGCCUUCGAUACUGCGGGUCUCGAGUCCGGGAGAGGUGAGUGGAAUUCCUAGUGUAGAGGUGAAAUUCGUAGAUAUUAGGAAGAACACCCGUGGCGAAGGCGGUUCUCUGGGACGGUACUGACGCUGAGACGCGAAAGCGUGGGGAGCGAACAGG